Molecule: long non-coding RNA, 681 nt
Filed under: Homo sapiens (human)
Lineage: Eukaryota; Metazoa; Chordata; Mammalia; Primates; Hominidae
Description: long non-coding RNA NONHSAT171957.1
Source: RNAcentral
ACUGCAACCAAGUGCAGAUCAUUUCCACUUACUUUACCAUCUAACUGUGAAGAUUAUUAAGGAAAAGGACUUUUUCUUCUUCUCUCUUCUAACAUGUUAAACUAAGAACCUUCCCACUGUGAACUACUGGCAUCUUACUUUUUGACCCCUUGACAAGAAGAACUGGAGUUACCAAAAUGCUGUCAUUUAAGGUGUUGGAGUGGAAACCAGAACAUUACCUAUUAUCAAGAAGGGGUUUCUUCUAAGGCAUUCACUCUUUUCUAUACUGAUUUCAUAAUUUACUAAGUGAGAUAUCUGGUUAUGCUUUAUUUCUCAUUGUUUGUAUGUUUUCUUUUCCCAGGGCACUCAGAAACAUACAUCUAAGGAAAGAUUCACUUAAAAACCAGCCAAGACACAGUCAUAUAAUUGGGAUCUCCAGGGCCCUGAGUAAAGACAGUCUCCUCCCACUUCAUCGUCGGUAAAUCAAACUCUCCACAGAUGGGCAUUUCCAGGUUUUCCUGUGAGUUUCUUGCACCUACAGAGCCUGGCCAAAUACUACAAUCCUGGUCAGUCAAGAGGAAGAAAAGGAAACUUGAGGCAAGGGAAGAUGUGAAACAAUUCAAAGUGAUGCAUAUGACUCCAGCUGCUGCCGUGUGAAGUACCACCGUGAGAUACAGCAGCUUUCUCAGCAGGCUUGUCUAC